RNAcentral lists this ribosomal RNA (253 nucleotides) under uncultured bacterium. RNAcentral describes it as "partial 16S ribosomal RNA". It matches the Rfam family "Bacterial small subunit ribosomal RNA", at positions 524 to 776 of the family's 1533-position model. The record is from RNAcentral.
UACGGAGUGUGCAAGCGUUACUCGGAAUCACUGGGCAUAAAGGGCGUGUAGGCGGGCUUUCAAGUCGGUUGUGAAAUCCCUCAGCUCAACUGAGGAACUGCAUCCGAUACUGUUUGUCUUGAGGACGAGAGGGGAGAGUGGAACUUCUGGUGGAGCGGUGAAAUGCGUAGAUAUCAGAAGGAACGCCGGUGGCGAAGGCGGCAUCCUGGACCGGUAUUGACGCUGAGGCGCGAAAGCCAGGGGAGCAAACGGG